CCCUCGUCACCCCUCCCCUGCGACCAUUGGUGAAUCCAAGGAACAAAUGUUUGAGCCCUAGGUACGCAGAGAAGGUGGCGGCCAAAGAGUUUGAUUUGUGUAUACGGUGUUCCUGUAUGAUGGUCUUGACUCUUGAGAGCUGAGAAGAUCCGUUUUGGCUUAAGAAAAUUCUGCAGUUGUUUCUGCACCUGAGUUCAUGAUCACGGUCUCAUGGAGCUUUACGCAGCUCGGUCGACUAGGCCACCGCGACGUUGUGGGAGAAGGACAUCGGUGCAGAGCAUGGCAAAGCUGAGUACUUGUUGGAUCUGAGGACUUCUGAUCCACAGUUCUCCGCAUUAUCAUCCAUCAACAUCAGGUGACAUUAGCACUCAGCUGCAUAAGGCUUUCUCCCCACUACAGUUGGAGUUCAAGAGCGAAUGGAAGGUAAUCUGGCGAUCAAUCACUGUUGCUUGUCACAAAACUCUGAAAAAUAUUAUUGAGUACAUCUACCACGAGCUAUGCUUGCCAUUUAAAAAGAUGUUUAUG
Long non-coding RNA from Triticum dicoccoides, 525 nucleotides. RefSeq lists it as uncharacterized. The transcript has 3 exons. The record is from RefSeq and is a predicted model, not a curated record. Lineage: Eukaryota; Viridiplantae; Streptophyta; Magnoliopsida; Poales; Poaceae.